UACGGGGGGGGUAAGCGUUGUUCGGAAUUACUGGGCGUAAAGGGCUCGUAGGCGGCCAACUAAGUCGGACGUGAAAUCCCUCAGCUUAACUGGGGAACUGCGUCCGAUACUGGAUGGCUUGGAUUUGGGAGAGGGAUGCGGAAUUCCAGGUGUAGCGGUGAAAUGCGUAGAUAUCUGGAGGAACACCGGUGGCGAAGGCGGCAUCCUGGACCGGUAUUGACGCUGAGGAGCGAAAGCCAGGGGAGCAAACGGG
This 253-nucleotide ribosomal RNA is filed under the name uncultured bacterium. RNAcentral's name for it is "partial 16S ribosomal RNA". It matches the Rfam family "Bacterial small subunit ribosomal RNA", at positions 524 to 776 of the family's 1533-position model. The record is from RNAcentral.